Suricata suricatta (meerkat) is the source of this 389-nucleotide long non-coding RNA. RefSeq lists it as uncharacterized. The transcript has 3 exons. Lineage: Eukaryota; Metazoa; Chordata; Mammalia; Carnivora; Herpestidae. The record is from RefSeq and is a predicted model, not a curated record.
GCCUCGGCUGGGAGCAGUCGGCCACCUCCCUCCGAGCGCUGGACGCUCUGCCGCCCGCCAGCCUGCCGCAACACAGUGGGAACUGUGCCAUGCAGUGGCAACUUCAUCCAUACUGAAAAUGGCAGUGAUAGAAAAGUCAAGAAGGACUACCCAACCCAUAUCAACGUUUGCCAUCCUGACCACCUGCCAGUGGCUCCGUGAGCUUCAAACUCUCCCUUCCUUCAGCCUGGACUCUCCUAUAUCCUUGUCCACACAUAUGCUUAAUUCAUUCUUCAGAAUUCUGCUUCACAAGUAUUCAAAUGUUGACAAGAGAAACAUUCAGCCUUGUGGUACAAUUGGGUGGAUAAUAUGCAGUGUGAAUCAAAAUAAAUAAAAAUGUUUCUACCUUU